This 406-nucleotide long non-coding RNA is filed under the name Coffea arabica (coffee). Its description in RNAcentral is "long non-coding RNA (CARA_LNC007163)". The record is from RNAcentral. Lineage: Eukaryota; Viridiplantae; Streptophyta; Magnoliopsida; Gentianales; Rubiaceae.
UUUUUGCGAAAAUUAAAUUAUCGAAUUCAAAACAAAUAUCCAAUAGCGCGUCGAUCAGUUAAUUCAAUUUAUUCAAUAAGAAUUGGGAAUAAGCUCUCCAUUUGGUUGGUACCAUUCAAUCGAAUCCAACUCAAUUGUUUCUUUAUUCAAACAAUGAAUUUGAAAAUUCAAUCAAUCUAUUUUAUUUUUAGAAUUUGAAGUGGAUGAAUAGGAAUGUUGAGAAGGUCUUUCAUUUAUCUAUCAUUAUAGAUAAUCCCAUCUCUAUUAUCCAUUCUAUGGAAUUCGCUAUGGAAUUCGAACCUGAACUCUAUUUACAUUACGAUUCAUUAUUUCUAUCCCAUUGGAUUUCUUUUUUAUUUCAGCAUAUCGAUUUACGCCGAGCCUUUUUUUCAUUUUUUUCAUUUUU